Molecule: long non-coding RNA, 1153 nt
Organism: Physcomitrium patens
Lineage: Eukaryota; Viridiplantae; Streptophyta; Bryopsida; Funariales; Funariaceae
Source: RefSeq, a predicted model, not a curated record
CGUACAUUGUGCAGUUUCUUAGUUUUUCUGUCUCAAAUUUGUUGGACUGGCCUUCAAGCUUGCCGAGGGAGUUGUAGCUGUGCUUUGAUUUCUGAGAUAUGCUAAUAUCUUCAUUCUGUGACAAGUUGCAGCGUAGUGUUUGUUUCGGGAAGCAUCCACUGUGUCGAUGGAGCUGUUAUUAAAGGUUGCAGAGAUGGCACAGUUUUUAUUACCAUCAAUAUCCUGAAUUCGGUAGCUGGCUUCGUGAUCUUUUCGACACUGGGAUCAGUUUUUGGAGCUUCAUUGCAAUAAUCUGAUCUCGAACUGCUGGUAAAUUUUACAACUUUGACUCUGUUUAGCAAGUUUUAUGUCGUCUUGCCAGCACAGUAUCACUUCUUCUAUUGGAUAAGUCUUUUAAUGUAAUAACCAUUUAAAUAGAACACCAAAGUUAAUGAACAAUUAGAGAAUUUUUUUAAAUGUCUCCUUGUUUGACCUUUGCAUCAUUCGGAUCAGAGUUAAAGUCACUGAUAUAAUUUGUUAAAGAUGAACUCUUUAUUUCAGAAAAUAAUAUGAAAAUGUUGGUUCAUUUACAAUGUUUUUGGAAGUGGUGAGAUCAUUGUUGGAUCGAAUAACUAUAAGAUAAAAAUUAAAAUUAAAUAUUUACCUCAAAUUGUUAUAUAUGUAAUAAUGGUGGUUAACAAUUUAAUAAUUUGGCGAGAAGCGAAAUUUGUCCAAAGGAAAAAUAUGGAGACAUUUAGAGAACCACUCUUACAUUAAAGUGGUUUUGCAACAUUUUCUAUGAAGUAGCUAUAAAUAAAAGAAUGUGUAGAGAAACAAAACUUAUAAGAAAAAAUAUUCUUGAUAUUUAUAGCUAGAAGGAAACUCAACAUGAUAAUAAGUAACUAUUUAAAACAUGAUGUAUAGAUAUUAUUAUGAUUGCCAGGUUGUAUUCUAAAGAUUAAAUGUAGAGCAAAAGAAAUCAUGUAAUCUUCUCUGAAUGUUUUGAUUUAUGAUUUGGAUAAUCUUCUACAGCUUCAAUCUUCUACUACUGGUUGUAGUUUUAGAAUAGUCUUUUAGUAAUAUUUUAACAUACAAAAGAGAUAUGCUCAUUUAAAGGAAUGUGUUUGAAAAUUUGUAACGGAAAAUAAAAGCUCAUAAAACAUUAAUUAAGCAA